UACAGAGGGUGCGAGCGUUGUUCGGAAUUAUUGGGCGUAAAGAGCUCGUAGGCGGUCAGUCGCGUCUGCUGUGAAAACUCGGGGCUUAACUCCGGGCCUGCAGUGGGUACGGGCUGACUAGAGUGCGGUAGGGGAGACUGGAAUUCCUGGUGUAGCGGUGAAAUGCGCAGAUAUCAGGAGGAACACCGGUGGCGAAGGCGGGUCUCUGGGCCGUAACUGACGCUGAGGAGCGAAAGCGUGGGGAGCGAACAGG
RNAcentral lists this ribosomal RNA (253 nucleotides) under uncultured bacterium. RNAcentral's name for it is "partial 16S ribosomal RNA". It matches the Rfam family "Bacterial small subunit ribosomal RNA", at positions 524 to 776 of the family's 1533-position model. The record is from RNAcentral.